RNAcentral lists this long non-coding RNA (295 nucleotides) under Manihot esculenta (cassava). RNAcentral describes it as "long non-coding RNA (MESC_LNC005404)". Lineage: Eukaryota; Viridiplantae; Streptophyta; Magnoliopsida; Malpighiales; Euphorbiaceae. The record is from RNAcentral.
AACUCAAAUUCAAAAAUUCAUCAAAAUACCCAUUUUCACACAAGCGAUUUUCUCAAAUUAAAAGCAAUAUUUAAAAAAUACAACUAAUUAAAACCCAUGAAAUGAAAAAAUGCAUCACAUUUUACAUCUUUUAUUUAGAUUACCUCAAGAUUAAUAAACUAUAGGAACCAACUAUACCCAAAAGCAUCAACAAAUCCUUCUAUAAUUACAAUAAAUAUAAACCCUAAAAAGGAAGAAGAUACUAAAAGAUCUACACCCACAAAUCCAUUGCCAAAUAAAAUUAAUACAAACCCAU